Molecule: non-coding RNA, 1938 nt
Organism: Doryrhamphus excisus (bluestripe pipefish)
Lineage: Eukaryota; Metazoa; Chordata; Actinopteri; Syngnathiformes; Syngnathidae
Source: RefSeq, a predicted model, not a curated record
CAGCGCCCUCUGCUGAUACUUGAUAGACCUGCAAUUAUCAAGUGGCUGUAAACUCGCCGAACCGAGGAAAAGAUAUCAAAAUAUCUGCGGAUAAAUACUGAAUGAUUGUUUCUGUGCAGGUCUGCGGCCUAAAGGGUCGGCGCUCCUGUCUCCGAUUCCGAAGGUCCAGGCGGGUUACAUCGGUUUAUGGCCGAACCGAGGAAGACAUAUCAUCAACAUAUCUGCGGAUAAAUACUGAAUGAUGUCUACGGCCUAAAGGGUCGGCGCUCCUGUCUCCCAUUCCGAAGGUCCAGGCGGUCCAGGCGGGUUACAUCGGUGCCGUCAACUGGAUGGGAGUGAGGGGACCCAGGCGCCCCCAUUCAGGCUGGGGUCAGCCCGCAGAUCCUCUGACGGGUAACGCACUGGCACGGCAGUGCGGUUGUAGUACACCAGUCUCGCCAUCAACUCUUUGACAACAUCUGGUCUCUUCCCGGAAAGGUUCCACCAGCUUCCCGGGAAGCUCGGAAGCAUCGGCGGUGGCGUCCAGUCUCCGUAACCGGGAUCUCCAGUCAGAAGUUUCCAGUCUCCGGCUCGGAUGGAGGCUUGCACGGCUGUAUUCCAAAUCCCAUAUCCUUUCUGCAGGGAGCCGCUCCGAGCUCGGUUAUAGAGAGGGUCUAUGUUGUGGAGGAUCUCCAAUCUGGGAGAUUCCUUCUCCUCACUAAUAGCUUCCCAAACAUCAUACCCAUCCACCCCCUUUGUUAGGGACUCGUUGCCACCUGCUAGUCGUACCAGGGUGGGAUACCAGUCGGUAAUGUGCACCAGGGCUUUACUAACCCGCCUCUUCUUUCUUAAUAGAGGGCUGUGGACAAAUCCCAGACCUCGGACUCCACCUUCCCAGUAGGUGCCCUUACGCCCCCUGAGGGGCCAGUUGCUGCCACCGGACAACGGCUGGCCGCCAUUGUCUGUUGAAAAGAUAAUGACACUGUUUUGGUAGUAACCAUACUUUCGGAGGGCGUAUGUUACAUUCCGAACUGCCUCGUCCACGGCAGAGACCAUAGCGGCGUACUUCCUGCGAGCCACGUUGCCGAGCCCACGGUAUGGAUAGAUGUACUCCCGCGGGGACUGCAGCGGGGUGUGAACGGCUUGGAAGGAAAGGUAGAUAAAGAGCGGCUGGGAUAACGGAUCAUGUGACGCUAGGAUCUUGCGGACCCUUUGCGUGUACAAAUGGGUGGAGUAUUUACCCCUCUGAUCCCAGGCUACGGUUUCGUCCUCGUGGAGAUCAAAACCACACAGACCAGGACCGUCGCAGGAGUUGUAGGUGUAGUAGUUGACGCUACCGGUCAGGGAGCCGAAAUAUGUGUCAAAGCCGCGCCGUGUUGGCAGACACUCCUUCUUGUAAAAACCCAAGUGCCACUUCCCCACCAUGUGGGUGGAGUAGCCGAGCUCCUGCAGCCUCUGAGGGAGCGUGACGUGUUGGAAGGGGAGGCAGUUGGGCUGGCGGGGCCGGAUGAUGGAGUGUUGAAGGCCUGUGUGAAUCUGGUACCUGCACGAUUGAUAGAAGAUACCAAAUAUCAAUAUUGUCAUGCAUUGUAUCUGUUAAGUUAUAGUAUUGGCACACGAACAUCAAAGCGCUAAUAAUAAUAAUAAUAAUACAUUUAAUUUAUGACGCAAUUUACAUCAAAUGAAUGAUCUCAAAGUGCAACAGGUACAAUAGAAGAAUAAAAGUUAACAGCAAGUGUCACAAUAAGAACAUCCAAAAUAAGAAUACUGUAAACCCGAAUGUUCAAAGUACUUAAAUAAAUGAAGUUAUGCAUACUUAAAGUUCUUAAAAAAGUUCUAAUAACUUAAUUAUGUCAAGUUCAUUUAACAUGUUGUUCCAUUUUGAGUACUUUUAACUAAUUGAACUAUGGCUAGGGCGGUGGUUAGCGCGCAGACCUCACAGCUAGGAGACCAGGGUUC